AGAGUUUGAUCCUGGCUCAGGAUGAACGCUAGCGGCAGGCUUAACACAUGCAAGUCGAGGGGUAACAGGGGAGCUUGCUUCCGCUGACGACCGGCGCACGGGUGCGUAACGCGUAUGCAACCUACCUUCUACAGGGGGAUAGUCAAUAGAAAUGUUGAAUAAUACCCCAUACGAUCUUAUUGUAUCAUUACAUAAAGAAGAAAGCUUCGGCGGUAGAAGAUGGGCAUGCGUCCUAUUAGUUAGUUGGUGAGGUAACGGCUCACCAAGACUACGAUAGGUAGGGGCCCUGAGAGGGGGAUCCCCCACACUGGUACUGAGACACGGACCAGACUCCUACGGGAGGCAGCAGUGAGGAAUAUUGGACAAUGGAGGCAACUCUGAUCCAGCCAUGCCGCGUGCAGGAAGACUGCCCUAUGGGUUGUAAACUGCUUUUAUACAGGAAGAAACCUACUUACGUGUAAGUAGCUGACGGUACUGUAAGAAUAAGGAUCGGCUAACUCCGUGCCAGCAGCCGCGGUAAUAAGGGCGAAUUC
This 533-nucleotide ribosomal RNA is filed under the name uncultured Flavobacteriaceae bacterium. Its description in RNAcentral is "bacterial SSU rRNA". It matches the Rfam family "Bacterial small subunit ribosomal RNA", at positions 8 to 535 of the family's 1533-position model. Lineage: Bacteria; Pseudomonadati; Bacteroidota; Flavobacteriia; Flavobacteriales; Flavobacteriaceae. The record is from RNAcentral.